Molecule: ribosomal RNA, 484 nt
Filed under: uncultured bacterium
Lineage: Bacteria
Description: bacterial SSU rRNA
Rfam family: Bacterial small subunit ribosomal RNA
Source: RNAcentral
GGUGAACGCUGGCGGCGUGCCUAACACAUGCAAGUCGAGCGGUGCAGUUUGAAGCUUCGGUGGAAAGCUGCAUAGCGGCGGACGGGUGAGGAAAACGUAGGAACGUGCCCCUUGGAGUUGGAUAGCCACGGGAAACUGUGGGUAAACCGACAUAGACUCGAGAGAGUAAAGGCCGAAAGGCGCCAAGGGAGCGGCCUGCGGCCCAUCAGGUAGUUGGUAGUGUAAAGGACUACCAAGCCGACGACGGGUAGCCGGUCUGAGAGGAUGGCCGGCCACAAGGGCACUGAGAGACGGGCCCUACUCCUACGGGAGGCAGCAGUGGGGGAUUUUGGACAAUGGGCGAAAGCCUGAUCCAGCGACGCCGCGUGGAGGACGAAGCCCUUUCGGGGUGUAAACUCCUUUUCUCAGGGAAAAAGGAUGAUGGUACCUGAGGAAUAAGCCCCGGCUAACUACGUGCCAGCAGACCGCGGUAAAGCUACGUAGA